CGGCCUCGCUAGGGGUCCUGGAGCUUUGCUGCCGGGUGAGAGAUACCCUUCGUACCUGAUCUGGAUAAUGCCAGCGAAGGAAAGCGCAAAGUAGUUCUC
Molecule: non-coding RNA, 99 nt
Filed under: Janthinobacterium sp.
Lineage: Bacteria; Pseudomonadati; Pseudomonadota; Betaproteobacteria; Burkholderiales; Oxalobacteraceae
Also listed under: 1 other name
Description: TPP sequence
Rfam family: TPP riboswitch aptamer (THI element)
About the family: Vitamin B(1) in its active form thiamin pyrophosphate (TPP) is an essential coenzyme that is synthesised by coupling of pyrimidine and thiazole moieties in bacteria.
Source: RNAcentral